GUAUGUCUGUGUGUGUGUGUGUAUGUCAGUAUGUGUGUGUAUGUCUGUAUGACAGACAUACUGACAUACACACACACACAGAUAUAUACACACACAGACAU
Pelobates cultripes (western spadefoot toad) is the source of this 101-nucleotide non-coding RNA. The record is from the annotation of a GenBank genome assembly. Lineage: Eukaryota; Metazoa; Chordata; Amphibia; Anura; Pelobatidae.